This 253-nucleotide ribosomal RNA is filed under the name uncultured bacterium. RNAcentral's name for it is "partial 16S ribosomal RNA". It matches the Rfam family "Bacterial small subunit ribosomal RNA", at positions 524 to 776 of the family's 1533-position model. The record is from RNAcentral.
UACGUAGGAGGCGAGCGUUGUCCGGAUUUACUGGGCGUAAAGGGCUCGUAGGCGGCCAACUAAGUCGGAUGUGAAAUCCCCAGGCUUAACCUGGGAACUGCAUCCGAUACUGGAUGGCUUGAAUCCGGGAGAGGGAUGCAGAAUUCCAGGUGUAGCGGUGAAAUGCGUAGAUAUCUGGAGGAAUACCGGUGGCGAAGGCGGCAUCCUGGACCGGCAUUGACGCUGAUGAGCGAAAGCUAGGGGAGCAAACGGG